GAUGAACGCUGGCGGCGUGCCUAAUACAUGCAAGUCGAGCGAACAGACGAGGAGCUUACUCCUCUGACGUUAGCGGCGGACGGGUGAGUAACACGUGGAUAACCUACCUAUAAGACUGGGAUAACUUCGGGAAACCGGAGCUAAUACCGGAUAACAUGUUGAACCGCAUGGUUCAACAGUGAAAGACGGUCUUGCUGUCACUUAUAGAUGGAUCCGCGUCGCAUUAGCUAGUUGGUAAGGUAACGGCUUACCAAGGCAACGAUGCGUAGCCGACCUGAGAGGGUGAUCGGCCACACUGGAACUGAGACACGGUCCAGACUCCUAAGGGAGGCAGCAGUAGGGAAUCUUCCGCAAUGGGCGAAAGCCUGACGGAGCAACGCCGCGUGAGUGAAGAAGGUCUUCGGAUCGUAAAACUCUGUUAUUAGGGAAGAACAAAUGUGUAAGUAACUAUGCACGUCUUGACGGUACCUAAUCAGAAAGCCACGGCUAACUACGUG
Molecule: ribosomal RNA, 497 nt
Filed under: uncultured bacterium
Lineage: Bacteria
Description: partial 16S ribosomal RNA
Rfam family: Bacterial small subunit ribosomal RNA
Source: RNAcentral